CUUAUAUUGACUAGCCUACAAUAGGCUAGCCAAGACGAAUGCUUUUGUAGCUUUCUUUUUGUAGACUAUCAACAGUAGCCAGCAUAUUCCUAGUAUUUUCACUAUCGAAGGUUUACUUUUGUAAAUCACUUUCCCAAAAACAAAUAAGCUCAGAGAGUAGAUUUAUGGGUGCUUUUUCUUUGCUCUGAACAGGUCGCGUGUACUAUCAAGACAUCAACUCGUGUACUGCUCGAGUGGUCGAGAAGUUGUGACUCGCGGGAUCGUGGUGGUGUUUGAGGGAACAGCCACUCAUAGCUCAAAUACAUAUAGCAUGACAUUUACACGUGUUCAUGAAUGGUUUUCAAUGGUAGACUGCGACAGAGCAGGUUCCUCUGGAGGCGUUUCGAAAGCCCGGCCCCACCAGGAUCCCUAAACCCAAAGGCUACGGCAUGCCCAGAGGGACAAACAGCACUAUUAACACUGGACAGAGCAAAGGACAGCUGCCGGCCACCGUGCACUCUGGGAGAAACACUGUGAAUGGUCAGACUGCGUCCAACAGGAGAGAUGGUCCAACCACAUUCGUUCAGAACAUUGCAGAAAUGUAAUAACUAGAGCUGUGACACAAUUCCAUAUUUUACUGACUGAGUAAAUAACAAAUUGCAGGUGCUAUAAUAUUGAGACCAACUGCUUGCACUAGUGCUGUGUAAAUCAAUAAAGAAUUGAUUUAUCUGCCAUUUUGUGCAAUCGUUUGUCUAUCUCUCAAUUUUUUGGUCUAUUGA
RNAcentral lists this long non-coding RNA (758 nucleotides) under Oncorhynchus kisutch (coho salmon). RNAcentral describes it as "lncRNA (ENSOKIG00005028552.1)". The record is from RNAcentral. Lineage: Eukaryota; Metazoa; Chordata; Actinopteri; Salmoniformes; Salmonidae.